RNAcentral lists this long non-coding RNA (1182 nucleotides) under Macaca mulatta (Rhesus monkey). Its description in RNAcentral is "lncRNA (ENSMMUG00000037955.2)". Lineage: Eukaryota; Metazoa; Chordata; Mammalia; Primates; Cercopithecidae. The record is from RNAcentral.
AAAGAACCUUUUGAAAUUUAGAAGUCUUUCUAAAGAAGGUGUUCUUAUGGUAAAAAAGAAAAAUGCUGUGAGACCUUAGGUAAGUAACUGUACUUCUCAGGAUUAACAGGGAUAAUAAAAAGGUGAUCUUUAGGACUGAAUGAGAAAGUAUAUGUAAAAAUGCCUAAGAUACCCAACACAGAGAAAGACUUAAUUAUUUUCUGUUAUUAUUUAUUAAAGUACAUUUUUGUAUACAAUUUUGUGUUUCUACAAUAUGAGUAUUUCACACCCAGAUUUAAGUAAAAUUUAGUAGGGUCCUUUUCUGUGCUAGGUGUUUUUUUUUUUUAUGUUGGCAUAUUUAAUUCCUAAAACAAUCUUACAAAGUUUGAAAAGUUGUUUCUUUUUAAAUAAUUAAGCCAUAUGAUUUCAGAAUGGCUAAGCAACUUGCCUAAUGUCACACAUUUGAUGUCUCCAGAUUCCAAGUUUCGUGUUCUUUCAUUUACAUUAAUAAAAAUUCUAAUAUCAGUACUUCAUAUGCACUGAAUUUGAAUAGAGCAUUAUACUCAGUUAAUCAUGUAUCACAUCAUUUUAUCACCAAAGUACACCUAUGAGGUUGCUGCCAGUGACUCCAUGGAGAUUAAAGAGUGUCAAGUCAUUGCCCCAGACCACACAGGUAGAAGUUGCAGAGCAAGGAUUUAAGGCCAAAUAGUUCUAAUUUUUCUGCCUGUGGUUGUCCUACUCCUUUACAACAUCCAUCAUUUCAGGGACUUAUUCUUACCAAAUAAGAGUCAAUGUGAGUAGGGGGAACAUACACAUUUUGUUUCAAUGUGACACUGUAGAUUGCUCCUAAAAUGUCACAGGCUGGGAACCACUAACCUAAGAUCUCCUUUUGAUUUUUAAUUGAGUCGCUCCUGAAAUGUCUUCAGUAUCUUUAACUCCAUGUUCUUUCCCUUCUUUGCUUCAGUAACUCCCAUGCAUUCUUCAAGCCUUAGAAUAACUGGAACCUCUUCUGAGAAGCUUUUCUUUCUACUUCCAGUCUCAAUGGGUGCUGAAUUUCAGUUCAUCACAGGUUUUGACAACAGGAGUGUGAGCAAUGACAAAAAGGCCUGGAGAUUAAAAAGAUGGCUCUGCUGCUCCACAACAUGUCUCAGAAUCUCCUUUCUUGAAAUCACAGACUUGAGCCUCUCCUGUGUAGAAAAUUAG